GACGAACGCUGGCGGCGUGCUUAACACAUGCAAGUCGAACGGAAAGGCCCUACUAUUGUGCGGUGCUCGAGUGGCGAUCGGGUGCGUAACACGUGAGUAACCUGCUCUAGUUUUUGGGAUAACUUCAGGUAACUGGGGCUACUAUCGGAUAGGAGCUCCCGCUGCAUUGUAGGGGGUGGAAAGUCUCGGCCGGAGGGGUUGGACGCGCGGCUAAUCAGCUUGUUGGUGGGGGAGUGGCUUACCAAGGCAUUGACGGGUCGCCGGCCUGUGAGGGUGACCGGCCACAAUGGUACUGCGGGACGGCCCAGAGUCCUACAGGGGGCAGCAGGGGGGAAUAUGGCACAAUGGGCGGAAGCCUGAGACGACAGCCUCGCGGUUGGAAAGACGGCCUUCUGGUUAAAAACCGCUUUCGCCUGUUACGAAGCGGUAGUGACGGUAAUGGGUAAAGAAGCACCGGCUAACUACGUG
This 468-nucleotide ribosomal RNA is filed under the name uncultured bacterium. RNAcentral describes it as "partial 16S ribosomal RNA". It matches the Rfam family "Bacterial small subunit ribosomal RNA", at positions 28 to 507 of the family's 1533-position model. The record is from RNAcentral.